RNAcentral lists this long non-coding RNA (372 nucleotides) under Monodelphis domestica (gray short-tailed opossum). RNAcentral's name for it is "lncRNA (ENSMODG00000044735.1)". Lineage: Eukaryota; Metazoa; Chordata; Mammalia; Didelphimorphia; Didelphidae. The record is from RNAcentral.
GAAAAAAACAAUUGGAUAGUCAUACCAUGAAUACAAGGGAACACUGAAUUUGGAGUCAGAAGACUUGGGGAAACCAUGAUCUUUUUAUGGAGAAACCAUAAUCUCUUGGAAAGAAAAAAAAUACCCUGUACAAAAUCAUUGAAGAUUACUUUGGGAGAGAAGGAGGGAAUACCAGAUGACAACACUGGGAUUCGAAAUUUCCAUGGAGAAGCCCCCAGUUUGGAGGUAAUCAUUAUUGGAAAGUUUUAGUCUUUCCUUCUUUCUUUCUAUUGCCCUGGAAGAUAUUAAUAGUUUAUGUGUCAACCUUACAAAAACUGUGCUUUUGUAUCAAUUUUGAAUAAAUAUUCAAAUGAAAGGAAAUUUUUCUUCUAU